RNAcentral lists this long non-coding RNA (267 nucleotides) under Trifolium pratense (red clover). RNAcentral describes it as "long non-coding RNA (TPRA_LNC004923)". Lineage: Eukaryota; Viridiplantae; Streptophyta; Magnoliopsida; Fabales; Fabaceae. The record is from RNAcentral.
AUUACAGUAUAGUUAAUCAACUAGAGUUAUUUGAUAGGUUACCAAGUUAGUUAGAGUUUACAAUGUUAGUUAGGGAGUUAGUUACUCCAUAUAGUCCUAUAAAUAAGCUACUUCAUUGUACAAUUUAUCCAUCUUUUAUCAAUCUAUAUUCAUUCAAUAUGAAUUUCUAUGAGUAUCUUCCUCAUGAAUACUCUUAUGCACUCUAUCUUGCCGACAUCUAUGAUCUUUAUCCCUUCGAUUCCAUGAUUCAUAACAUGGUAUCAGAGC